GCUGCCAACCUAUCUACCGCUGCCAACCUACCUAUCGCUGCCAAUCUAUCUACCACUGCUAAUCUAUCGCUGCUAAUCUAUCGCUGCUAAUCUAUUGCUGCUAAUCUAUCUAUCACUGCUAAUCUAUUGCUGCCAACCUACCUACCGCUGCCAACCUAUCUACCACUGCCAAUCUACCUACCGCUGCCAACCUACCUACCACUGCUAAUCUAUCACUGCUAAUCUAUCGCUGCCAACCUACCUACCGCUGCCAACCUACCUACCGCUGCCAACCUACCUACCACUGCUAAUCUAUCACUGCUAAUCUAUCACUGCCAACCUAUAUAGGGUAAAUCAUGGUCCCAUUUGGUCCCAUUUUGUAAAAUGGGACCAAAUGGGACUGGGACCACUAAUUUAUUAGUAAAACAUGAUCUGGGACUAGAUUUAUAAUAUAAACAGUGUAAAGUGACUAAUUUACUAAACACUAUAUGGGACCAGAACUAAGAUAUCUAAUAAUGGGACUGAGGAAAAAUUUGGUCCCAGUCCCAUGCAUGGUCACACGGCCAGUCUAAUCUCCAUUUCUCCAUUAUUAUUAUAGAUGUAUAUAUAUUAUUAUUAUAGAGUUAGGUCU
RNAcentral lists this small RNA (610 nucleotides) under Histoplasma capsulatum. Its description in RNAcentral is "hypothetical RNA". The record is from RNAcentral. Lineage: Eukaryota; Fungi; Ascomycota; Eurotiomycetes; Onygenales; Ajellomycetaceae.